This is a long non-coding RNA of Homo sapiens (human), 12753 nucleotides long. RefSeq lists it as uncharacterized. The record is from RefSeq and is marked validated. Lineage: Eukaryota; Metazoa; Chordata; Mammalia; Primates; Hominidae. The transcript is spliced from 5 exons.
AGUUGGAGAGGACAGGAGAGGAGGGCGUGGCUUCUGGCGUUUGGCGGGUCUUUGUCUCUCGCUGGCGCUGGCACAGGAACUUGGGAUCCGUCUCCUCUUUCGCCUCCUCCGCUUUGGGAGCCCCGGGCUACUCUUUCACAGCCCCUGUUGCCCUGUGAUCUGUAGGUCCUUGGGGACGCACAGUUAAGAUGACAGGACAUCCUGGAAGCUGGGAAAUGAUUUCUUCCAGACCAUGGCUGGAGAAGGAAAGAAGGUGUGUUUUGCCUGAUUCAGGGACUAUAGAGAGAACCAAGUUCUGCAGGCCUGUCACCUAAGUCUCAGAUGAGUAUGAAUUCUUUUGUGUUUUUCACAGAUUUUUGCAGUGGCAGGACCAAGUUCAAAUGAGUCAUAGCCAAGUUUACAGUAAGAUGUGGUAGUAUUCUGUUUUGAACCGAGGACCAUGAUUGGCAAGCUUGCCACUUGGUCAAGUGCUUACCCUCUAAAGAUGUCUUCCUUGGUCUUUGCCUCCAGCUGGGUGUCACAAACUCUGAACUGGAUUCUAAGGCUUUCAUGAAUGCACUUAUGUUUCCCGUGGCAGCUGCAUUAUGUUGUGGGGGAUGUGCAUGCCGAACCUCCCAUUCUGUCAUCUUGCUUAUGUUACUCUCCUUUAUGUUUCACUUUCUCAAAUGAAUGUCAAGCUGGUGAUUUUUAGAUUCAAAAAUUCUAAAAUAAAUUGCUCAAAUUUCCACAUUAUGUAAGCUAUUAAUAAAAUGUCUUGUAGGUGCUACAUAUUUAUUAAAAUUUUUGGUUGUAAUUUUAAGCUCACUGCAGGCAGAAAGGAAUCAUUAACAUUUAUAUUCUUUUUUUUAGUCUGUAUCUAAAUGAUGGCAUAUUUUAAUUCCAGAUAUUUACUUUAUACUGCAGUAAUGCUCGUCAUAUUUUGCAAAAUUUAUGUUGUUCUUUUAUUUGGAAAUAUAAGGCUUUUUUAGCUCCUGAAAUCUAUAUUAUAGUCAUAUAAUUUUAUUAUGUUUUGUGGUAAGAAGUGCAGCAACAUAUUGAGAACAUAAUAAAAUUAUCCUGUAUUUUUAAUGAUUAUUUAUUAAAUUCCUCUCAUUAGAGCCUGUUAUUAAUGAUUGUAAUGUAUUUUCUGUAUAAUUUUACUGCAAUUUAUUAAAUUCUAAUGACUUAAAUUGUCUGCUUUUCAUGAGUGCACACAGUUGAAUGCUGUAGAUAUCUAAAGAAUUAUUUUUCGGCCGGUUGUGGUGGCUCAUGCCUGUAUUCCCAGCACCUUGGGAGGCCAAGGCGGGUGGAUCACGAGGUCAGGAGAUCGAGACAACCCUGACUAACAUGGUGAAACCCCGUCUCUACUAAAUAUACAAAAAAUUAACCGGGCAUAGUGGCAGGCGCCUGUAUCCCCAGCUACUCAGGAGGCUGAGGCAGGAGAAUGGCGUGAACUCAGUGGACAGAGUUUGCAGUGAGCCGAGAUCGCGCCACUGCACUCCAGCCUGGGCAACAGGGCAAGACUCUGUCUCAAAAAAAAAAUAAAAAAAAAAACGGUUAUUUUCCAUUGUAAAUCUAUGUUGUAUUCAGGAUUUUAUGCACGAAAAUCUCUCUUCUUAUUUUCAAGUCCGUGUUAUUGUGUUUCUUUUCUUGGGAGUUAUGUUUUCUCAGAUCAGUUAAAUGUAUUUUUAUUUUAAAGCUUGAUAUCAUCAGUUGAAAGAUAAUUUUUAGCUCGGUACACUUUAUCUCAAUGUGAUGUUUAAUAUAUGUGUGAAUUAGCUGUGUUUGUUGCUUAUAGAUAUAUCUGUAUGUUUUUCACUUAUGUAAGUAUGACAUCUUUUUCCUUGUUUUUUUGUUUUUUUCUUUUCAGUUUCAGAUAGGCUUUUUUUUUUUUUUUAAGAGAAUUUUAAAACAGAGUCGAAAGAAGAGAAAUCAGUUAUUUGUCCUCUUGCAGGGUGGGGAGACAACUUCCUUCCCCACAGGUUUGAGGCUAUGCCUAAGUGGUGAGUCUUGAGGAGAUGCAGAAAGGAUCCAUCCCAGGCACUUGGCUGGACUUAAGUAAGCAUAGCCUUUAGGCCACAAGACCUGAUGGUUUGGGUACUGGUCUGGACAUAAGUCCCCAUCUUCCCAGAAAUAUCGUCUUUUGUCUGCAACAACUGGCUGGAGAAAUAUUUCAGAAAGAUAUGUGUCUGGAACACCCAAAGGCAUACUUUUCCUUUCUCCUUGGCAUAGGCCUUGCAGCACUGAAGAAAGACCAGGUUUGCAAUGGAGCCUUCAACAGUCUUCAUCCCUAUGGAACUCAGGGUCUCAUAGGGUGACAGGAGAGGAGACAAAGCUAACUUGGGAAGAGUCUCUGUCCUUCAGCUUCUCCCCUACUGAAACACUAUAUAUUGGGCCCACAGUUCAUCACAAAACACACAUGCUCUCUUUCUUUCUCUCACACCCACAUCUUGGGAACCCAAAAACUUGAUGGCAGGUAGCUCUGGGUAUCCUUGGUCUGGCAUUCACCCACUGGGAAUCUAAGCUGUCCUAAAGCUCUUUUCAAUCACUUCUCACUGUUUCCAGGCCCAUGUGGGUAGGUGUUCCAGGCUUCAUUCUUUCAGGCUGAUCAUAAAGGCACAGUGUGGGAAAAUCCCCUACUGUGAUGGCCAUUGCUGGGAAGCAGGAAAGGCUAAGGGCCCACUGCUGCCCAAGGCUAGUAUAGAUGCCCUCUGCUCCACUCAUGUCCUCAAAGACUGAUAUCAGGUGCAGCAGCUGCUGUCUGGAAUGUUAUCAAACCAGGACUGCACAGGCACUGCAUUCUCUGUGUGGAAGACGUAAGAAGCAGGCGAGUUGUCCAGGAUGAGAGUUUUCCUCAGGUCCCUCCCCAGAUGGCUGAGGUCAUUGACAUAGCAGCCCUGGUGGAACAAACGUGACUCAUGGGCUAGGCAACCCCAGAACACCUCACACUGGUCCAGCACACCCAUCACAAUGUGUCUGGAAUUGGUGGGUUCUUGUUCUCACUGACUUCAAGAAUGAAGCCACAGACCCUCACGGUGAGUGUUACAGUUCUUAAAGGUGGCAUGUCUGGAGUUUGUUCCUUCUGACAUUCGGAUGUGUUGAGAGUUUCUUCCCUCUGGUGGGCUCGUGGUCUCGCUGGCUCAGGAGUGAAGCUGCAGACGUUCGCGGUGAGUGUUACAGCUCUUAAGGUGGCACAUCUGGAGUUGUUCAUUCCUCCAGGUGGGUUCGUGGUCUCGCUGGCUUCAGGAGUGAAGUUGUGGACCUUCACAGUGAGUGUUACAGCUCAUAAAGGCAUUGUGGACCCAAAGAGUGAGCAGCAGCAAUAUUUAUUGCAAAGAGCAAAAGAACAAAGCUUCCACAGUGUGGAAGGGGACCCGAGUGGGUUGCCACUGCUGGCUGGGGCAGCCUACUUUUAUUCCCUUAUCUGGCCCCACCCACAUCUUGCUGAUUGUUAGAGCCGAGUGGUCUUUUUUCACAGGGCGCUGAUUGGUGUGUUUACAAUCCCUGAGCUAGACACAAAGGUUCUCCACAUCCCCCCCAGUGUAGCUAGAUACAGAGUGUUGAUUGGUGCAUUCACAAACCCUGAGCUAGACACAGGGUGCUGGUUGGCAUGUUUACAAACCUUGAGCUAGAUACAGAGUGCCGAUUGGUGUAUUUACAAUCCCUGAGCUAGACACAAAGUUUCUCCACGUCCCUACCAGACUCAGGAGCCCAGCUGGCUUCACCCAGUGGAUCCCCCACAGGGUCUGCAGGUGUAGCUGCCUGCCAGUCUGGCACUGUGCACCCGCACUUCUCAGCCCUUGGGUGGUUGAUGGGACUGGGUGCUGUGGAGCAGGGGGCGGCACUCAUCCAGGAGGCUUGGGCACACAGGAGCCCACCGAUGGGGGGGAGGCUCAGGCAUGGCGGGCUGCAGGACCCAAGCCCUGCCCUGUGGGAUGGCAGCUAAGGCCCAGCGAGAAAUUGAGCACAGCAGCUGCUGGCCGAGGUGUUAAGCCCCUCACUGCCUGGGGCCGGUGGGGCCAGCCGGCGGCUCCGAGUGUGGGGUCCGCCGAGCUCGCGCUGGCCUUCAAGCACUGCACGCCGCCCUGGUUCCCACACGCACCUCUCCCUCCACACCUCGUCGCAAGCUGAGGGAGCCGGCUCCGACCUUGGCCAGCCCAGAAAGGGGCUCCCACAGUGCAGCGACAGGCUGAAGGGCUCCUAAAGUGCCGCCAAAGUUGGAGCCCAGGCAGAGGAGGCCCGGAGAGUGAGCAAGGGUUGUGAGGACUGCCAGCACGCUGUCACCUCUCAACAGGAUCUGCAUACUUGUUCAGUCUGGAAUGAAGAGAGCAAUGAAGAAAACACAUUUAAACAGUUCCUCCAGUCAUCUCAGGAACUCAUCCAUAUAAGGCCUCAUGGUCCCCUCAAUCUUUACAGUCACUAGGCAGUCAGCAUUGCUGAUUGGCUUAAUGGAGCUAUGCACAAGGGUUUCAUCCAUGUCAGUGACCAUACAGAUCGUUCCUUGAUUUUUCUCUGUCACCUCUGGGAGCAGGCAGGUCCCUGGGAUCUGAUAAAACUGAUACUGGAGACCCUUGAGCUGAUCCGACUUAGCAAUGGUGUUGACUCCCUCCUUAUGUGUGGAGAACUCAGUGGGGGAACUUGACUUGCCAACAUGCUGGGUGCAAGAACAGCAGAAAGGUACCUUCUAAGAUGUCACAAACAUGAGGCCUCUUCGGAGAGCACUUUGGAAACCAGGCCUUGCUUGCUAAGGACCAGGGCAUCUUCCCUCCAUGCCUGGGUGGUGAUGGAGCCUGGUUCCAUCUAACAAUCCUGAGGGCUCGGCUGGCUGGGUGGGAAGACAGCGGGCACGUUGGCUGGACUGGGCUGGGGGGCAUGGGCUGGGGCCUGAUUCAGUUCCCGAGAGUCUGACUUCCACAGCUGUUCACAUACCCCUUCUCCUUUCCAUCACAGGCCGGGAAGGGAGGCGGCCUGUAUGGACGGUGGAUGGCCUUGGCAGCAGCUCCCCAGGGUGCCCCCAGCCCCAAAUCCCCCAGCAGGAGCUUCAGGAUCCUCAGUUUGGGUCUAACCUAGGGAAUCCACCUCAUACUCAUGUUUUUUCAAGUUUUAUUUUAAGUUCAGUGGUCCAUAUGUGAUAAGCUUUUUUUUCAACUUUUAUUUUAAGUUUAGGGGUCCAUGUGCAGGAUAUGCAGGUCUCUUACAUAGAUAAACGUGUGCCAUUGUGCUUUACUGCACAGAUCAUCUCAUCACCCAGGUACUAAGCCCAGCAUCCGCAGCUAUUCUUCCUGCUGCUCUCCUUCCCCUCCCCCAUGCCAUGAAACAGGUGUCCAGUGUGUGUUGUUCUUCCUGAUGUGUCCAUGUGUUCUCAUUGAUCUGCUUCUGCUAAUAAGUUAGAAUAAUAAUAGGUGGUGUUUGGUUUUCUGUUCCUGCAUUAGUUUGCUGGGAGUAGUGGCUUCAAAUUCCAACCAUGUCCCUGCAAAGGACAUCAUCUCAUUACAUUUUAUGGCUUCAUAGUGUUCCAUGGUGUAUGUGUACCACAUUUUCUUUAUCCAGUAUAUCAUUGAUGGGCAUGUAGAUUGAUUACAUGACGUUGCUAUUGUAAAUAUUGCUGCAAUGAACAUAUGUAUACAUGUUUAUUUAAAAUAGAUUUAUAUUCCUUUGGGUGUAUGCCCAGUAAUAGUAUUGCUGGGUCAAAUGGUAUUUCUGCUUCUAGGUCUUUGAGGAAUCUCCACACUCUCUUCCACAAUGCUUGAAAUAAUUUACAAUCCCACCAACAGUGUAAAAGUGUUCCCUUUUCUCCACAACCUCACCAGCAUCUGUUUUUAUUUCUUUUUUACUUUUUAUUAAUAGACAUUGUAAUUGGUGUGAGAUGGUAUCUCAUUGUUGUUUUGAUGUGUAUUUAUCCACUUAUCAGUGAUGUUGAGCUUUCCAUGUUUGUUGGGCACAUGUAUGUCUUCUUUUGAGAUAUGUCUGUUCAUGUCCUUUGACCACUUUUUAAUGGGGUUGUUUGUUUUUCUCUUGUAAAUUUUAAGUCCCUCAUAGAUUCUGGGUAUUAGAUAUUUGUCAGAUGAAUAGGUUGCAAAAUUUUUCUCCCAUUCUCUAGCUUCUCUGCUCUGAUGAUAGCUUCUUUGGCUCUGUGGAAUCUCUUUAGUUUAAUUAGACCCCAUUAGUCAAUUUUUGCUUUUGUUGCUAUUUCUUUUGGUCUUUUUGUCAUCAAAUCUUUCCUCAUGACUAUAUCCUGAAUGGUAUUUUCUAGAUUUUUUCUUCUAAGGUUUUUAUAGUUUUGGGUUUUACAUUCAAGUCUUUAAUCCAUCUUGAGUCAAUUUUUGUCUAUGGUGUUAGGAAGGGUUCCAGUCUUAAUUCUCUGCACAUGACUAGCCAGUUAUCCUAGCACUAUUUAUUGAAUAGGGAGACUUUUCCCUAAUUCCUUGUUUUUGUUGACUUUGUCAAAGAUCAGUUUGUUGUAGGUUUUUGGCUUUAUUUCUAUGCUCUCUAUUUUGUUUCAUUUGUCUAUGUGUCUGUUUCUAUACCAGUACCAUGCUGUUUUUGUUACUGUACUCUUCUAGUACAGUUUGAAGUUAGGCAAUGACCCUUUCAGCUUUUUUUUUUUUUUUUUCUUAAGGUUGGCUUGGCUAUUUGGGCUCUUUUUUGGUUCCAUUUUAAUUUUAAAAAGUUUUUUUUUUCUAAUUAUCUGAAGAAUGUCAGUAGUUCAAUGGGAACAGCAUUGAAUCUAUAAAUUACUUAGGGCAAUAUGCUCAUAUUCGUGGUACUGAUUCUUUCUCUCCGUGAGCAUGGAAUGUUUCUCCAUUUGUUUUGUGUCCACUCUGAUUCCUCUGAGUAGUUGUUUGUAGUUCUCCUUGAAGAUAUCCUUCACUUUCCUUCUUAGCUGUAUUCCUUGGUAUUUUUUUCUCUUUAUAGCAAAUGUGAAUGAAAGUUCAUUCAUGAUUUGUCUCCCUGCUUGCCUGUUGCUUGUGUAUGGGAAUGCUAGCUACUUUUGCAGAUUGAUUUUAUAUCCUGAGAUUUUGCUACUGCUGCUUAUCACCUUAAGAAGCUUUGGGGCUGAGACGAAGAGGCUUUCUAGAUAUAGGGUCAGGUCAUCUGUAAACAAAGAUAAUUUGACUUUCUCUCUUUCUAUUUGAAUACUGUUUAUUUCUUCCUCUGGCCUGAUUUUCCUGGACAAGUUUUCCGAAUGGGAGUUGUAAUGCGAGUGGUGAGAGAGAGCAUACUUUUCUUGUGCCGGUUUUCAGGGGGAAUGUUUCCAGCUUUUGCACAUUCAGUAUGAUAUUGGCUGUGGGUUUGUUGUAUAUGGCUCUUCUUAUUUUGAGGUAUGUUUCUUCAGUUCCUAGUUUAUUGAGAAUUUUAAACGUGAAGGAAUGUUGAAUUUUAUUGGGUGCUUUUUCUGCAUCUAUUGAGGUAAUCAUGUGUUUUUUUUAUUUAGUUUUCUUUAUGUGAUGAGUCACAUUUGUUGAUUUGCAUAUGUUGAAUCAACCUUGCAUCCUGGGGACAAAGCCAAUUCCAUUGUGGUGGAUGCACUUUUUAAUGUGCUGCUGGGUUUGGUUUGCCAGUAUUUUAUUGAGGAUGUUUGCACAGUGUUCAUCAAAGACAUUGGCAUGAUGUGUUGUUGUUGUUGUUGUUGUAUCUAUGUUAGGUUUUGGUAUCAGGAUGAUGCUGGCCUGAUAGAAUGAGUUAGACAGAACUUCUUUGUCUUCAAUUUUUUUUGGAUAGUUUUAGGAGAAAAUGUACUAUCUCCUCUUUACCUCAAGUCAAAUUCAGCUUGCUUGGUAGGCUAGUUCUUACUGCCUCAAUUUCAGAACACAUUAUUGAUCUAUUCAGGGUUCAGUCUUGUGGAGAGUUUAUUUUGCAAGGAAAUUGUCCAUUUCUUCUAGAUUUUCUGGUUUAUGAGCAUAGAGGUGUUUAUAGUAUUCUCUGAUCAUUGUUCUUAUUUCCAUGGGAUCAGUGAUGAUAUCUCCCUUAUUAUUUCUAUUUGUGUUUGGUUCUUUCUUUUCUUAUUUAUUUGCCUAACUAGUGUUCCAUCUAGUUUAUUAAUUUUUUUUUUUUUUUUUUCAUAAAAACAGCUCCUGGAUUGGUUGAGUUUUUUUUUUUUUUUUUUUUUUUUGGAAGAGUUCUCAGUGUCUCUAUCUCCUUCAGCUCUACUCUGAUCUUGGCUAUUUCUUGUUUUCUGCUAGCUUUCAGGUUUGUUUUCACUUGGUUUUCUUGUUCUUUUAAUCAAGAUGUUAGGCUGUUAACUUCAGAUCUUUCUAAUUUUUUUUUUUUUCUUGUGGGAGAGUUUCACUCUGUCACCCAGACUGGAGUACAGUGGCAUAAUCUCGGCUCACUGCAACCUCCUCUUCUCGGUUUUAAGUCACUUCUGCUGUCUCAGCCUCCUGAGUAGCUGGGAUUACAGAUGUGAAUCACCACACCUAGCUAAUUUUUGUAUUUUUUUGUAGAGAUAUGGUUUUGCUGUUGGUCAGGCUGGUCCUGAACACCUGGUCUCAAGUGAUCUGCCUACCCCAGCCUCCCAAAGUGCUGGAAUUACAGGCAUGAGCCACCAUGACUGGCCCUUUCUAGCUUUUUGAUGUGGACAUUAGUGCUAUAAAUUUUCCUCUUUUCUUGGUUUCUAGUGAUUAUUUUAUUCUAUCUUGGUGAGUAGUCAGGGAAAUAAUCUUAAAUUUACAAUCAACUUAUAGUUUAAAUCUAAAAAAUUAUGUGAGAAGAACCCUUUGUUAUUUGAAGGGGAUGUUUGAAGAUUUUGUAACCGUGCCUUUUAGGUAGUCCUAAAUUUCUAAUUGUAGUUAAAAACAUGCCAUUUUCAUUUCUAACAUUUUAAGUAUAUGGUUUAGAAGUGGUAAGUAUAGUUCUAUUUUUUUUGCAAUAGGUUUUAGAUAAUUUUUGUCUUACAAAAUUAAAAGUGAAUACUCAUUAAUUCUGAAACAAGUUAGUUAGCUUGCUUUAGUUAGAUAGCAAGAGAAGGGUCCCUGGAAAGUCCCUGGCCCUUGGGUCAGUAUCUCAUCCCUGCAUAACAUAAAAGGAAUCCUGGAAAAAAUCAAGCUGCAGACACUAACAAGGUAACUAGCACAUGGUGUUGUGCUUGGAGACCUGCCCAUGGCUGCCCAGACAGAAAAACCUCUGGCCCAUUUGGAUAAAAACUGGUACAAACCUCCAGCUCACUGAGAUAAGGGAACAAGACCGACCUGGCAUAGAAUUGCCUUUGUUUGGCCAGGCAUGGUGGCUCAUGCCCGUAAUUCCAGCAAUUUGGGCGGAAGUGGACGGAUCACCUGAGGUCGGGAGUUCGAGACCAGCAUGACCAACAUGGAGAAACCCUGUCUCUACUAAAAAUACAAAAUUAGCCGGGCAUGGCGCCUCAUGCCUGUAAUCCCAGCUACUUGGGAGGCUGAGGCAGGAGAAUCACUUACAUCCAGGUGGCGGAGUUUGCUGUGGGCCGAGAUCGCACCACUGCACUCCAGCCUGGGCAACAAGAGCAAAACUACGUCUCAAAAUAAAUAAAUAAAUAAAUAAAUAAAUAAAUAAAUAAAUAAAUAAUAAGAAAGUACAUCUCAAAAAAAAAAUGAAAGAAAGAAAGAAAAGAAAAAGAAAAAAAGAAACGCCUUUGUACUUUGUGCAGUCAGUGCGCUCCCAGGAAAAUGUUUCUUCUCCUUCUGUGGGCAUAAGCACAGUGGGCUCUGGUGCAUUCCGGUCGACACUCUCCUUUAUUUGGACUGUAAGUCUGACCUCUGUGAAUAAUUACUUCAGCCCCUGAUUGCUCCCGGGACAAGCUCCUGCGCCAAGCUUUCACUUUGGCUUCUGAUAAGUCCUGGGCCAAUCUAAAUAGCAUGUAUGAAUCAUCCCUUCAGCUCCUGAUUGGUCCCGGGCCAAAGUCCUGGGCCAAGCUGAGCCACACUUUUUUCAAGACAGCCUGUGAACUAAGCACAUUUCCUUCUCUUCCUUUCCCAGUCCAUAAAAACCUUGGGCCCCAGCCUCACAGAGGUCACCCCAUUCAGAAACUAUCUCUGCUGGCAAAGAGCUUUCUUCUCUUGCUUAUCAAACUUUCACUCUAACCUCACCUUUGUGUUCACGCUCCUUAAUCUCCCUAGAAGUAGAACAAAGAACUUUCGAUGCUAUCUCAGACUAUGAGAGACUGUUACAUCUUGGUGCACUGCUGAGACUACAACACUUGGUUUCUUUGAGUUUGACUAAAUAUUUUACAUAGGUGUAAUUAUACAGUUUUCCUUUUUGACUGUCUUGUUUUACUUAACAGAAUGUUUUCGAGAUUUGUCCUUAUUGUAGUACUUUUCAAGAUUUCCUUAUUUUUAAGGCUGAAUGCUAUCCCAGUGAAUAUACGUGCCCUGUUUGUUGAAUCUACUCAUCCUUAAAGGUAACUUCUUAGACCAAGUCUAGAAACAGUCUGAGGACAAUAACAAUUCCAUUCUAAAAAGAAUCUCCCAACAUUUCUUCUAUCUCUACCUCAACUGCAUCUGCCUGUGAACUUCCAGCUUACCAAGGCUCUAUAUCUUCUGGCAGUGACAAAGGCUCCUUCCAUGAUUGGUGUGAGUAGGCUUGGACACCUGCAGGGCAGACACCCAGGAAUAAUCAACUGAGCCUUCAGUGGUCCUCUUUUGCUGGGUCAAGAUAUGUAUUCAUUUCCUACCACCGUAGUGGAAGAGAUACUAUCCCUAUCUUUACAACUGAUAGCAUUUCCAACAGUAAGCUGUGAGAUUCUGCUUGAAAUCACCUCUCAAACAAAUAAAAAACAGACCUGGGAGACAUGCUACGCUCAUUCUGCUGAAGAAAUAGGCAUCAUAGCUGGGAAACGGAUUCACAAGACCCAGGCUGUUCCCUACAUAUGUUUCCUCCUCCGACAUCAGUUCAUCAGUCAAUCAAGCCAUGUGAGAGUGGAGGCCUUGUAUUCCCUAUUAUUCUUGGGCACUCUACUCCAAGUAGGAAAAGGCCAGGAGGUCCUGUUAAAGGAUGCACUCAGAGCCCGGGCUCCCUAACAUAUGAGAGUGCUAACCAGCAGGUGUAGACUUUUCAGGAGUGAAGAAUGAGGCAGGCAUUCCAAACCUGGACCUUCAUCACCUUUUGUUUCAUCUCAAGACAAUUCUGAGGGACUGUUUUGGAGCGUGUCUGGAAGGUGAACCUUGAAGAAGAGUGUGGGUUUUGAUGUGACUCAGUUGAGAUCUUUCAUGGGGAGGCAGGAAUUCAAUGCCCAGAAUCUGGGCUGGUGUCUUUGAGGUCAGUAGGUUGCGUCUUUGUAUCCAAGUCCAUUGUUACUAGGUUGGAGGCUGGAGAUUCUAAAUGGCUUCCAGACCAUCUCUCUGAUUCUCUUUGGGAGAUGGGGUCUGAAAGACAAUGUCAGUAGUUUUGGGAAAUUCUAGAAAGUGUGCUUGGAAACGUGGGAAGAGCUCUUGCCUAGUGCCUAAAUGCUCCAUUUGCAGCUCUAGCCAAGUAGAUACUUGGUAGGUAUAGAGCCGGGUUUGCGUUUAUAUUAGCAAAACCUAUGUCAGAGUUGAAGAAGUAGUCAGGAAAAAGCGUCUUGGUCGCAGGCCGGGGAACAUCUUAAAAGCAAACUUCUAGCCUGCUGACUCUUGGCAAUGAGUGUUGGAUCCUGGCUAAAGUGCCUUGAAUGCAGCAUGAGGCCAAUCCAUGAAUCCAACUUCUCAUGGAGAAAUGUUAAUAUUUUUUCAGUUUGAAUCAAUCAGGGUGAAACUACCAUGCUAUUGGUUUGCUUACUUUUUAUUAUUUCAUGUAAAAUCUAAGACAAAAUACAUUAAAUGCUUAUUGACAUAUGUAUUUAUUCUUCACCAGGCUGAUAAUAUCUGCCUAAUUUUAAACUUUCUUCCAUUUUGUAGGUUUCAACUUAUUCUAUUGUAAGAUACUGUUAAAUCUAAUAGAGGCAUUGUCACUUUUACGUAUAAUUUUAUUUUAUUUCAUAUAUUUCCUAUUGGUUUUUUACAUUUAAAUUAUGGAGCACUUCAUCAUAUAAAAAACUUCAAUUAUAUUUAAACAGUAAGUCUUUGGAUUUUUUUGCCUUUUAAUUUCCAUAUUACAUAAUAAUGAGAUAAACAUUAAUGUUUUCAGGGUACUUUAAAUUUUAGAUAAUUACUCAUUGUAUUCAUGUGAAAUUUGUUUUUACUGCAUGUGUGGGUUGGAGGACGGUUUUCACUUCUGAUUCAUCUUUACUCUUAUCUCAUCAGAGCUCAUACCUCUUGUAGUUGGGGGAUUGCAGUUUAUAAUUCCAAUAAAUGGGGCAAAUUCAAUAAUAACAUAAUACAAAUGAGUUUGAAUGCAGGACAGGUCUUCAAAGCAUACACAACAUGGGCCUACAUAUGUACAACAAUAAUAAUUUAUAAGUUACUGUUUGGAUGGAAAGUAAAAGUACAGAAAAUUUGUUAAAGGAAAUUAAAAUGGAGAUCAUGUCUCAAUAAUCUCUGAGCAGACAAAAUUAGUUAGGUCUCAUAAGUGAUCUCAACCUCGCUUGAUUUGCAAAUACAAACAAAACUUACAUUAUUUCUUGUAGCUGCAUAUUGAAAAAAGAGAAAUGAAGCUCAACCAGUCAGAAGUAGCCAACAACCUUAUAUAAAUAGAAACUGUCCAACAAGGUAAACAGACAAACAAAAAACAAUAAAAAAAGUUGUGCUACCACCAAAUGAUUUCUUUGUUUCUACAUUUUUCAAAUAAAUACUUGCUUCUUACACUGUCAAUGAAGCACUCAAUAUCUUUCCGUCUGAUAUUUUAUAAUUUAUCAAUUGCUCUUACUCAAAUAAACACUUUGCAAUUUCA